This 481-nucleotide ribosomal RNA is filed under the name uncultured bacterium. Its description in RNAcentral is "partial 16S ribosomal RNA". It matches the Rfam family "Bacterial small subunit ribosomal RNA", at positions 28 to 507 of the family's 1533-position model. The record is from RNAcentral.
GACGAACGUUGGCGGCGUGCUUAAUACAUGCAAGUCAACUGAAGCAGUGGUAGCAAUAUCGCUGUGGAGGUGGCGCACGGGUGAGUAACACGUAGGUAAUCUGCCUUCAGGUCUGGCAUAACUCCGGGAAACCGGGGCUAAUAGCAGAUGAUGCAGCGGCUCGACAUCGAGACAGUUGUUAAAGCUAUGGCGCCUGAAGAUGAGCCUGCGUCUGAUUAGCUAGUUGGCGGGGUAACGGCCCACCAAGGCAACGAUCAGUAGCUGGUCUGAGAGGAUGAUCAGCGACACUGGAACUGAGACACGGUCCAGACUCCUACGGGAGGCAGCAGUAAGGAAUAUUGCUCAAUGGGAGAAAUCCUGAAGCAGCAACGCCGCGUGAGGGACGAAGGGCUUUUGCUUGUAAACCUCUGUAGUGAGAGAAAAAAAUCCCAAUCUUUGGGACAUGAUGGUAUCUCAAAAGUAAGCCCCGGCUAACUACGUG